RNAcentral lists this ribosomal RNA (1027 nucleotides) under Salmonella enterica subsp. enterica serovar Brandenburg. RNAcentral describes it as "bacterial SSU rRNA". It matches the Rfam family "Bacterial small subunit ribosomal RNA", at positions 1 to 1017 of the family's 1533-position model. The record is from RNAcentral. Lineage: Bacteria; Pseudomonadati; Pseudomonadota; Gammaproteobacteria; Enterobacterales; Enterobacteriaceae.
AAAUUGAAGAGUUUGAUCAUGGCUCAGAUUGAACGCUGGCGGCAGGCCUAACACAUGCAAGUCGAACGGUAACAGGAAGCAGCUUGCUGCUUUGCUGACGAGUGGCGGACGGGUGAGUAAGGUCUGGGAAACUGCCUGAUGGAGGGGGAUAACUACUGGAAACGGUGGCUAAUACCGCAUAAUGUCGCAAGACCAAAGAGGGGGACCUUCGGGCCUCUUGCCAUCAGAUGUGCCCAGAUGGGAUUAGCUUGUUGGUGAGGUAACGGCUCACCAAGGCGACGAUCCCUAGCUGGUCUGAGAGGAUGACCAGCCACACUGGAACUGAGACACGGUCCAGACUCCUACGGGAGGCAGCAGUGGGGAAUAUUGCACAAUGGGCGCAAGCCUGAUGCAGCCAUGCCGCGUGUAUGAAGAAGGCCUUCGGGUUGUAAAGUACUUUCAGCGGGGAGGAAGGUGUUGUGGUUAAUAACCACAGCAAUUGACGUUACCCGCAGAAGAAGCACCGGCUAACUCCGUGCCAGCAGCCGCGGUAAUACGGAGGGUGCAAGCGUUAAUCGGAAUUACUGGGCGUAAAGCGCACGCAGGCGGUCUGUCAAGUCGGAUGUGAAAUCCCCGGGCUCAACCUGGGAACUGCAUUCGAAACUGGCAGGCUUGAGUCUUGUAGAGGGGGGUAGAAUUCCAGGUGUAGCGGUGAAAUGCGUAGAGAUCUGGAGGAAUACCGGUGGCGAAGGCGGCCCCCUGGACAAAGACUGACGCUCAGGUGCGAAAGCGUGGGGAGCAAACAGGAUUAGAUACCCUGGUAGUCCACGCCGUAAACGAUGUCUACUUGGAGGUUGUGCCCUUGAGGCGUGGCUUCCGGAGCUAACGCGUUAAGUAGACCGCCUGGGGAGUACGGCCGCAAGGUUAAAACUCAAAUGAAUUGACGGGGGCCCGCACAAGCGGUGGAGCAUGUGGUUUAAUUCGAUGCAACGCGAAGAACCUUACCUGGUCUUGACAUCCACAGAACUUUCCAGAGAUGGAUUGGUGC